UGGAAAUCAUUCGCAGAGUGUAAAGGCACAAGGGAGCUUGACUGCGAGACCUACAAGUCGAGCAGGGACGAAAGUCGGGCUUAGUGAUCCGGUGGUUCCGCAUGGAAGGGCCAUCGCUCAACGGAUAAAAGCUACCCCGGGGAUAACAGGCUUAUCUCCCCCAAGAGUCCACAUCGACGGGGAGGUUUGGCACCUCGAUGUCGGCUCAUCGCAUCCUGGGGCUGUAGUCGGUCCCAAGGGUUGGGCUGUUCGCCCAUUAAAGCGGUACGCGAGCUGGGUUCAGAACGUCGUGAGACAGUUCGGUCCCUAUCCGUCGCGGGCGCAGGAAAUUUGAGAGGAGCUGUCCUUAGUACGAGAGGACCGGGAUGGACGCACCGCUGGUGUACCAGUUGUUCUGCCAAGGGCAUCGCUGGGUAGCUAUGUGCGGACGGGAUAAGUGCUGAAAGCAUCUAAGCAUGAAGCCCCCCUCAAGAUGAGAUUUCCCAGUAUGUAAGACCCCUUGAAGACGACGAGGUAGAUAGGUUGGGGGUGGAAGUGCAGUAAUGCAUGGAGCUGACCAAUACUAAUCGGUCGAGGGCUUAUCCUAAG
Molecule: ribosomal RNA, 588 nt
Filed under: Bacillus velezensis
Lineage: Bacteria; Bacillati; Bacillota; Bacilli; Caryophanales; Bacillaceae
Description: bacterial LSU rRNA
Rfam family: Bacterial large subunit ribosomal RNA
Source: RNAcentral